UACGGGAGGCAGCAGUGGGGAAUAUUGGGCAAUGGGCGAAAGCCUGACCCAGCAACGCCGCGUGAAGGAAGAAGGCCUUCGGGUUGUAAACUUCUUUUAUCAAGGACGAAGAAGGUGACGGUACUUGAUGAAUAAGCCACGGCUAACUACGUGCCAGCAGCCGCGGUAAU
RNAcentral lists this ribosomal RNA (170 nucleotides) under uncultured rumen bacterium. RNAcentral describes it as "partial 16S ribosomal RNA". It matches the Rfam family "Bacterial small subunit ribosomal RNA", at positions 340 to 524 of the family's 1533-position model. The record is from RNAcentral.